AAUGCGUAGAGAUCUGGAGGAAUACCGGUGGCGAAGGCGGCCCCCUGGACGAAGACUGACGCUCAGGUGCGAAAGCGUGGGGAGCAAACAGGAUUAGAUACCCUGGUAGUCCACGCCGUAAACGAUGUCGACUUGGAGGUUGUGCCCUUGAGGCGUGGCUUCCGGAGCUAACGCGUUAAGUCGACCGCCUGGGGAGUACGGCCGCAAGGUUAAAACUCAAAUGAAUUGACGGGGGCCCGCACAAGCGGUGGAGCAUGUGGUUUAAUUCGAUGCAACGCGAAGAACCUUACCUGGUCUUGACAUCCACAGAACUUUCCAGAGAUGGAUUGGUGCCUUCGGGAAC
RNAcentral lists this ribosomal RNA (343 nucleotides) under Escherichia coli. RNAcentral describes it as "bacterial SSU rRNA". It matches the Rfam family "Bacterial small subunit ribosomal RNA", at positions 685 to 1027 of the family's 1533-position model. The record is from RNAcentral. Lineage: Bacteria; Pseudomonadati; Pseudomonadota; Gammaproteobacteria; Enterobacterales; Enterobacteriaceae.